Molecule: long non-coding RNA, 871 nt
Filed under: Trifolium pratense (red clover)
Lineage: Eukaryota; Viridiplantae; Streptophyta; Magnoliopsida; Fabales; Fabaceae
Description: long non-coding RNA (TPRA_LNC007022)
Source: RNAcentral
UUGAGUUUUCUUCAAAAAAUAAAGAGCCAUUAAUCAUGAAAAAUAGUGGCGUCUUCAAAAAAAAAAGAAAAAAAAAAUUUAAAAGAUAAGUUCUCUAAGUACCUUAUUAACAAUGAAGUGAGCCCCGAUAAUGGUAAUUUUUCAAUAAGGAAUAGUAGUGGAUACCUAACUCCAAUUUAGCCUACUUUCCCCAAAAUUAUCCCACCAUUUACCUAAGCCAAGUUAUAACCCUCAAGACCUCAAAAAUGUGUGCAAUGUAUUUACUUUGAUUGACGUUCAGAAUUGUUUCAAGCUUAUGGUAAAAUAGCAUUUGCAUGUUGAUGGAGUGAAUACCCUGUCAAAAAUUGAGUGAAUUAGUGAGUGAGAGAUAAGGUUGAACUUUGUACAUCGUGUGGAACAGUCAUUGGACUAAAUCUGAUUGAAGUCUCGGAAGCCAGAGUGCUAAUUGAGCAGAAUCACUGAAGUUAAGACCGGUGGUUCUAUUGCCGGAUGAAGAGAAUAAGGCUUAUGAGAUUUUUAUCAUUCAAAUUAAUUUGUUAAUUCCCUGACAGUUUUGUUUUGACAGGUAUGUCACUUGAGGACAAGUAACAGUUCAAGUUUGGGGUUGUGAUGACAGCAGUCAUUUGCUAAUUUUAAUUCCAAUUUUAGUGUUUUUAAUUAGUUUUUAGUAGUAAUUCAUGGUCAAAGAGAAGAAUAUUUAAAGAAAUUGACAUAGCAAGAAGUUUGAAGACAAAAGUUGAAAAGAAGAAAAAUACUUAAAAAAAUGGGAAGUUUUGAAGCAUUUUAUGUCUGGAGCUACUGUAUUUUUCGUGGGGCUACUUAUUUCAAUCGUAGCGCGAUUUUGCCAAUGCCAGAUAGAUCAAAACGUGUG